RNAcentral lists this ribosomal RNA (1815 nucleotides) under Triticum aestivum (bread wheat). Its description in RNAcentral is "partial small subunit ribosomal RNA". The record is from RNAcentral. Lineage: Eukaryota; Viridiplantae; Streptophyta; Magnoliopsida; Poales; Poaceae.
AUGUCGGCGCUCCUCCCGCCGCCCCACGGGCCGCGCGCCGCCGGGGACCCCAAGAAGACCGACGUCGCGGGGGGCAAGCUGCCCCCCUGCGCCGCCGGGGACCCCAAGAAGCCCGCCGCCGCCGGCGCCCGCUCCGCCGCCAAGCUCGCGCUCGCCUCCUUCCUCGGCGUCGCCUUCCUCUUCGCCGUCGACGCCUUCCUCUCCGGCGCUGGCGCCGACGGCCGGCUGCGCCACCAGUACCAGCAUUACCUCGGCGCCGGCCCCGCCGUGGGCGCCCCGCCUUCCUGGCCCUCCGUGCCCGACCCCACCAGCUUCGCCGAGGACGUCCUCGGCGGCGGCCGCGCCGAGAGCCCCCCGCCCUCCUGGCUCUCCGUGCCCAACCCCACCAACUUCACGGGCGACCUCCUUGCCCGCUGGCUCACGCCCGGGGGCUCGCCGUGCCGCGACGCCCGCACGGCCAACAUCUCCGUCCCGGCCCUUGACGGCGCCGCGGCGGCGGGGGGCGUCACCAAGCUGAGCGCCGCCGAGAUUCACGAGUUCACGUUCUGGGCGCUCGACGGCACCGGCCUGCGGCGCUGCCUCGGCGGGGACUUCUUCGAGAUUGAUCUCUCCGGGGAGGCGUGGAAGUCGCGGCCCCCCGUGGUGGACAACGGCGACGGCUCCUACACUUUCCGCCUCCAGGUUGCGCCCCGCUUCGCCGCGGGGGAGUUCCACCUCACCAUCGUCCUCCUCUUCCGCAGCUUCGAGGGCCUCAAGUUCUCCUCCGCCAGGUUCAAGUACCGCGUCGAGCUCCGCCGCACUCCUCUACUCUUCCGGCCGGGCAACGCGUCGCUCCCCGCACUGGAGACCUGCCGGGCCGCCGACUUCGCGCGCGACGUCUGGUCCGGCCGGUGGACGCGGCUCGCCAGGAACGACAGGUGCGAGGAUGUGGACGACGGCGGCCGCUACCGGUGCCUGGAGCCGGAGCACCCGUGCGAGGCACCGUGGUGCGACGGACCACUGGGCGCGCUGGAGAGCAACGGAUGGGUCUACUCGGCGCACUGCUCGUUCAAGCUCUUCACCGCCGACGCUGCGUGGCGGUGCCUUGACGGCAAGUGGCUCUUCUUCUGGGGCGAUUCCAACCAUGUCGACACCAUCCGGAACCUCCUGACCUUUGUUCUUGGCGUUGAGGACACAUCCGCAGUGACACGCCGCUUCGACGCCGUGUUCACCAAUCCCAGCGGCGAGCCGGGCACCCUGCGGAUCACAAGCAUCUUCAACGGCCAUUGGAACAUGAGCAUGAACUAUCUCGGCCUGCAUUCCCUCCGGCACAAGGGGUUCCGGCAGCUUGUCCGGUCAUACUUUGCGGGCGAUGAUCGUGUCCCCGAUGUUGUCAUCCUGAACUCUGGCCUCCAUGAUGGGUGCUACUGGAGCAGUGUCCGCGCUUACGUUCAGGCCACCGAGUAUGCCGCGCAGUUCUGGGCCGGCGUAAUGGCUAAGGUGCGGUUGCGUGGGCUUGCCGUGCCAAGGGUGUUCUACCGGACGACGGUCGCGACUGGCGGGUAUGCUCGGGACCUGGCAUUCAAUCCAAACAAGAUGGAGCUAUUCAAUGGCGUGCUCGUGGAGAAGAUGAGGCAGCAUGGCGUGCUCACAGGCGGGGUGAUAGACAACUUCGACAUGACGUUCCCAUGGCACUACGACAACCGUUGCAACGACGGCGUGCACUACGGGCGUGCACCGGCAAAGUUGGUAUGGCGGGACGGCAAGAUCGGCCACCAGUACUUCGUGGACCUCAUGCUGGGGCAUGUGCUCCUCAAUGCCAUCUGCAAUGGAUGA